RNAcentral lists this ribosomal RNA (435 nucleotides) under Triticum aestivum (bread wheat). RNAcentral's name for it is "partial small subunit ribosomal RNA". The record is from RNAcentral. Lineage: Eukaryota; Viridiplantae; Streptophyta; Magnoliopsida; Poales; Poaceae.
AUGCUCUCGGCGAAUUCGGACUCGGUGAUAUGGCCGCACACUGCUUCUGGGCGUUUCUCAGUUAAAUCGCUUAUUGGAGGCACUCCUGCUAACCAUUUCUCUCAGAUCUGGAAGGCUCGGAUCCCUCCUAAAGUUAAGAUUUUCUUAUGGCAAGCUUUUAGGGGUCGGCUGCCUUCGGCUGACCAAAUUUGUAAGAGGAAUGGUCCAGGCUCACAGUUCUGUGCUUUGUGUGGUGACUUGGAGGAUACAGCUCAUAUCUUCUUCCAUUGUAUCUUGGCUAAGCUGAUAUGGAGUUGCGUUAUAGAGUGGCUUCAUGUAGUUUGGGACCCUGCUUCGUUCUCUGAGCUUAGGGCUCUGGCUAAUAAUCUGUCGGGCGUUACUAGACGUAUCUUUUGGGUGGGCCUGGGAGCAAUUUCUUGUAGUGGAAAUCAUUGA